GUGUUCACUUUAGCAGCACAAUUACUAAAACUGAAACAAUACAAAGAAAAUUAGCAUGGACUCUGUGCAAGGUUGACAAACACAGUUGUUAUUAAAGCAUUCUAUGUUUUU
Molecule: small nuclear RNA, 111 nt
Filed under: Dasypus novemcinctus (nine-banded armadillo)
Lineage: Eukaryota; Metazoa; Chordata; Mammalia; Cingulata; Dasypodidae
Source: RNAcentral